AAUUCGGCCAAAAACGGCUAACCCAAGGCGAAUCGCCUCCUCAAGCGGCAGCGCCGUCGCCGGAGCACGGCGGAGCCACCGUGCCGGAAUUGCGAUAUUGGCCGAAAGGGGCCUUGGGUCUAAUUUGGGAUUUUUUGGAACACGUGCAGGUACCAGUAGUGCGUUUCAGUUCCCCGGGAAAAAUUCAGGGAAAAUUAGGGACAGCCUGUAGGCGCACUGUGGAGCCGUGUUCGGACCCCGAAACGAGUAAGGACCCCUCACCCUAUUUCCUAUCACGGUAUUAAA
This 285-nucleotide long non-coding RNA is filed under the name Carica papaya (papaya). Its description in RNAcentral is "long non-coding RNA (CPAP_LNC003996)". Lineage: Eukaryota; Viridiplantae; Streptophyta; Magnoliopsida; Brassicales; Caricaceae. The record is from RNAcentral.